CUCUGGUAUUGAUUGGUGCUUGCAUCAUGAUUUACAUUUGAGUGAGUGGCGAACUGGUGAGUAACACGUGGGAAACCUGCCCAGAAGCGGGGGAUAACACCUGGAAACAGAUGCUAAUACCGCAUAACAACUUGGACCGCAUGGUCCGAGCUUGAAAGAUGGCUUCGGCUAUCACUUUUGGAUGGUCCCGCGGCGUAUUAGCUAGAUGGUGGGGUAACGGCUCACCAUGGCAAUGAUACGUAGCCGACCUGAGAGGGUAAUCGGCCACAUUGGGACUGAGACACGGCCCAAACUCCUACGGGAGGCAGCAGUAGGGAAUCUUCCACAAUGGACGAAAGUCUGAUGGAGCAACGCCGCGUGAGUGAAGAAGGGUUUCGGCUCGUAAAACUCUGUUGUUAAAGAAGAACAUAUCUGAGAGUAACUGUUCAGGUAUUGACGGUAUUUAACCAGAAAGCCACGGCUAACUACGUGCCAGCAGCCGCGGUAAUACGUAGGUGGCAAGCGUUGUCCGGAUUUAUUGGGCGUAAAGCGAGCGCAGGCGGUUUUUUAAGUCUGAUGUGAAAGCCUUCGGCUCAACCGAAGAAGUGCAUCGGAAACUGGGAAACUUGAGUGCAGAAGAGGACAGUGGAACUCCAUGUGUAGCGGUGAAAUGCGUAGAUAUAUGGAAGAACACCAGUGGCGAAGGCGGCUGUCUGGUCUGUAACUGACGCUGAGGCUCGAAAGUAUGGGUAGCAAACAGGAUUAGAUACCCUGGUAGUCCAUACCGUAAACGAUGAAUGCUAAGUGUUGGAGGGUUUCCGCCCUUCAGUGCUGCAGCUAACGCAUUAAGCAUUCCGCCUGGGGAGUACGGCCGCAAGGCUGAAACUCAAAGGAAUUGACGGGGGCCCGCACAAGCGGUGGAGCAUGUGGUUUAAUUCGAAGCUACGCGAAGAACCUUACCAGGUCUUGACAUACUAUGCAAAUCUAAGAGAUUAGACGUUCCCUUCGGGGACAUGGAUACAGGUGGUGCAUGGUUGUCGUCAGCUCGUGUCGUGAGAUGUUGGGUUAAGUCCCGCAACGAGCGCAACCCUUAUUAUCAGUUGCCAGCAUUAAGUUGGGCACUCUGGUGAGACUGCCGGUGACAAACCGGAGGAAGGUGGGGAUGACGUCAAAUCAUCAUGCCCCUUAUGACCUGGGCUACACACGUGCUACAAUGGAUGGUACAACGAGUUGCGAACUCGCGAGAGUAAGCUAAUCUCUUAAAGCCAUUCUCAGUUCGGAUUGUAGGCUGCAACUCGCCUACAUGAAGUCGGAAUCGCUAGUAAUCGCGGAUCAGCAUGCCGCGGUGAAUACGUUCCCGGGCCUUGUACACACCGCCCGUCACACCAUGAGAGUUUGUAACACCCAAAGUCGGUGGGGUAAC
Molecule: ribosomal RNA, 1402 nt
Filed under: Lactiplantibacillus plantarum
Lineage: Bacteria; Bacillati; Bacillota; Bacilli; Lactobacillales; Lactobacillaceae
Description: bacterial SSU rRNA
Rfam family: Bacterial small subunit ribosomal RNA
Source: RNAcentral